UUAAGCGACUAAGCGUACACGGUGGAUGCCCUGGCAGUCAGAGGCGAUGAAGGACGUGCUAAUCUGCGAUAAGCGCCGGUAAGGUGAUAUGAACCGUUAUAACCGGCGAUUUCCGAAUGGGGAAACCCAGUGUGAUUCGUCACACUAUCAUUAACUGAAUCCAUAGGUUAAUGAGGCGAACCGGGGGAACUGAAACAUCUAAGUACCCCGAGGAAAAGAAAUCAACCGAGAUUCCCCCAGUAGCGGCGAGCGAACGGGGAGGAGCCCAGAGCCUGAAUCAGCAUGUGUGUUAGUGGAAGCGUCUGGAAAGGCGCGCGAUACAGGGUGACAGCCCCGUACACAAAAGCGCAUGUGCUGUGAGCUCGAUGAGUAGGGCGGGACACGUGGUAUCCUGUCUGAAUAUGGGGGGACCAUCCUCCAAGGCUAAAUACUCCUGACUGACCGAUAGUGAACCAGUACCGUGAGGGAAAGGCGAAAAGAACCCCGGCGAGGGGAGUGAAAAAGAACCUGAAACCGUGUACGUACAAGCAGUGGGAGCACCCUUCGGGGUGUGACUGCGUACCUUUUGUAUAAUGGGUCAGCGACUUAUAUUCUGUAGCAAGGUUAACCGAAUAGGGGAGCCGCAGGGAAACCGAGUCUUAAUUGGGCGUUAAGUUGCAGGGUAUAGACCCGAAACCCGGUGAUCUAGCCAUGGGCAGGUUGAAGGUUGGGUAACACUAACUGGAGGACCGAACCGACUAAUGUUGAAAAAUUAGCGGAUGACCUGUGGCUGGGGGUGAAAGGCCAAUCAAACCGGGAGAUAGCUGGUUCUCCCCGAAAGCUAUUUAGGUAGCGCCUCGUGAAUUCAUCUCCGGGGGUAGAGCACUGUUUCGGCUAGGGGGCCAUCCCGGCUUACCAACCCGAUGCAAACUGCGAAUACCGGAGAAUGUUAUCACGGGAGACACACGGCGGGUGCUAACGUCCGUCGUGAAGAGGGAAACAACCCAGACCGCCAGCUAAGGUCCCAAAGUCAUGGUUAAGUGGGAAACGAUGUGGGAAGGCCCAGACAGCCAGGAUGUUGGCUUAGAAGCAGCCAUCAUUUAAAGAAAGCGUAAUAGCUCACUGGUCGAGUCGGCCUGCGCGGAAGAUGUAACGGGGCUAAACCAUGCACCGAAGCUGCGGCAGCGAACGUAUCACCCAAGACAACUUUGCGGAGUUGACGAUUGACGGAGCGAAGCGACGUCAAAGCGUUCAUUAAAGUCGAGUUGGCUUAGGGAUACGUUCGUUGGGUAGGGGAGCGUUCUGUAAGCCUGUGAAGGUGGCCUGUGAGGGUUGCUGGAGGUAUCAGAAGUGCGAAUGCUGACAUAAGUAACGAUAAAGCGGGUGAAAAGCCCGCUCGCCGGAAGACCAAGGGUUCCUGUCCAACGUUAAUCGGGGCAGGGUGAGUCGACCCCUAAGGCGAGGCCGAAAGGCGUAGUCGAUGGGAAACGGGUUAAUAUUCCCGUACUUGGUGUUACUGCGAAGGGGGGACGGAGAAGGCUAUGUUGGCCGGGCGACGGUUGUCCCGGUUUAAGCGUGUAGGUGUGUGUUCCAGGUAAAUCCGGUUCACUUUAACACUGAGGCGUGAUGACGAGGCACUACGGUGCUGAAGCAACAAAUGCCCUGCUUCCAGGAAAAGCCUCUAAGCAUCAGGUAACACGAAAUCGUACCCCAAACCGACACAGGUGGUCAGGUAGAGAAUACCAAGGCGCUUGAGAGAACUCGGGUGAAGGAACUAGGCAAAAUGGUGCCGUAACUUCGGGAGAAGGCACGCUGACACGUAGGUGAAGUGAUUUACUCAUGGAGCUGAAGUCAGUCGAAGAUACCAGCUGGCUGCAACUGUUUAUUAAAAACACAGCACUGUGCAAACACGAAAGUGGACGUAUACGGUGUGACGCCUGCCCGGUGCCGGAAGGUUAAUUGAUGGGGUCAGCGCAAGCGAAGCUCCUGAUCGAAGCCCCGGUAAACGGCGGCCGUAACUAUAACGGUCCUAAGGUAGCGAAAUUCCUUGUCGGGUAAGUUCCGACCUGCACGAAUGGCGUAAUGAUGGCCAGGCUGUCUCCACCCGAGACUCAGUGAAAUUGAACUCGCUGUGAAGAUGCAGUGUACCCGCGGCAAGACGGAAAGACCCCGUGAACCUUUACUAUAGCUUGACACUGAACAUUGAGCCUUGAUGUGUAGGAUAGGUGGGAGGCUUUGAAGUGUGGACGCCAGUCUGCAUGGAGCCGACCUUGAAAUACCACCCUUUAAUGUUUGAUGUUCUAACGUGGACCCGUAAUCCGGGUUGCGGACAGUGUCUGGUGGGUAGUUUGACUGGGGCGGUCUCCUCCUAAAGAGUAACGGAGGAGCACGAAGGUUGGCUAAUCCUGGUCGGACAUCAGGAGGUUAGUGCAAUGGCAUAAGCCAGCUUGACUGCGAGCGUGACGGCGCGAGCAGGUGCGAAAGCAGGUCAUAGUGAUCCGGUGGUUCUGAAUGGAAGGGCCAUCGCUCAACGGAUAAAAGGUACUCCGGGGAUAACAGGCUGAUACCGCCCAAGAGUUCAUAUCGACGGCGGUGUUUGGCACCUCGAUGUCGGCUCAUCACAUCCUGGGGCUGAAGUAGGUCCCAAGGGUAUGGCUGUUCGCCAUUUAAAGUGGUACGCGAGCUGGGUUUAGAACGUCGUGAGACAGUUCGGUCCCUAUCUGCCGUGGGCGCUGGAGAACUGAGGGGGGCUGCUCCUAGUACGAGAGGACCGGAGUGGACGCAUCACUGGUGUUCGGGUUGUCAUGCCAAUGGCACUGCCCGGUAGCUAAAUGCGGAAGAGAUAAGUGCUGAAAGCAUCUAAGCACGAAACUUGCCCCGAGAUGAGUUCUCCCUGAGACUUAGAGUCUCCUGAAGGAACGUUGAAGACGACGACGUUGAUAGGCCGGGUGUGUAAGCGCAGCGAUGCGUUGAGCUAACCGGUACUAAUGAACCGUGAGGCUUAACCUU
RNAcentral lists this ribosomal RNA (2988 nucleotides) under Salmonella enterica subsp. enterica serovar Adelaide. RNAcentral describes it as "bacterial LSU rRNA". It matches the Rfam family "Bacterial large subunit ribosomal RNA". The record is from RNAcentral. Lineage: Bacteria; Pseudomonadati; Pseudomonadota; Gammaproteobacteria; Enterobacterales; Enterobacteriaceae.